Non-coding RNA from Esox lucius (northern pike), 624 nucleotides. The record is from the annotation of a RefSeq genome assembly. NCBI's taxonomy places the organism in Eukaryota, Metazoa, Chordata, Actinopteri, Esociformes, Esocidae.
AUGUUUGCUGUAAUAGGGAUUGUAUCACUGUGGUACACUUUUGGUGGCGGCACCAGACUUGAUGUUGGAAGUAACACUGCCCCCACCCUGACCAUCCUGCCCCCCUCUAGUGAGGAGCUGUCCAGUACAACAACAGCCACACUGAUGUGUCUGGCCAACAAGGGCUUCCCCUCAGACUGGACCUUGAGUUGGAAAGUGGACGGGAACAACAAGAAUCAGAAGUCCUGUUCCGUGGUCCUGGAGAAGGAUGGUCUGUACAGCUGGAGCAGCACCCUGACUCUCACUGCCCAGGAGUGGACCAAGGUGGGAGAGGUGACCUGUGAAGCCCAGAAGAGCUCCCAGACACCAGUCAUCAAGACCCUGAGGAGGGAUGACUGUUCUGGUUAGGACCUGUCUGUCACAUUACCCAGUGAAGAGAGGCUGCUGGUUCUUUUGCUUUUACUUCGUUUUGACAGAUAUUUUGUCUUAUUAAUCACUUACAGUGAGCUUUGCGUAAGUUCAUGUGUCCAUCCUCUAUGUAGAUGGACAUUUGAUAGAUAUGAUAUGGUCUGGUCGUACUAUUAUAACACACAUUUGCUUUUAUACGUUGAUGAAAAUAAAGAUUUCGCUUUGUAGGAAAUAUAA